This 253-nucleotide ribosomal RNA is filed under the name uncultured bacterium. RNAcentral's name for it is "partial 16S ribosomal RNA". It matches the Rfam family "Bacterial small subunit ribosomal RNA", at positions 524 to 776 of the family's 1533-position model. The record is from RNAcentral.
UACGGGGGGGGCAAGCGUUGUUCGGAAUUACUGGGCGUAAAGGGCGCGUAGGCGGUUCGCUAAGUUGAAUGUGAAAACUCUGGGCUUAACCCAGAGCCUGCAUCCAAAACUGGCGAACUGGAGUACUGGAGGGGAAAGCGGAAUUCCUGGUGCAGCGGUGAAAUGCGUAGAUAUCAGGAGGAACACCGGUGGCGAAGGCGGCGACCUGGGUGGAUACUGACGCUGAGGUGCGAAAGCGUGGGGAGCAAACAGG